AACCUGCCUCAUACACAUGGAUAACAUACCGAAAGGUAUGCUAAUACAAGAUGAUAUAAGAGAUUCGCAUGGGUUUCUUAUCAAAGCUCCGGCGGUAUGAGAUGGACCCGCGUCUGAUUAGCUAGUUGGUAAGGUAACGGCUUACCAAGGCGACGAUCAGUAGCCGACCUGAGAGGGUGAUCGGCCACAUUGGAACUGAGACACGGUCCAAACUCCUACGGGAGGCAGCAGUGGGGAAUAUUGCACAAUGGGCGAAAGCCUGAUGCAGCAACGCCGCGUGAGCGAUGAAGGCCUUCGGGUCGUAAAGCUCUGUCCUCAAGGAAGAUAAUGACGGUACUUGAGGAGGAAGCCCCGGCUAACUACGUGCCAGCAGCCGCGGUAAUACGUAGGGGGCUAGCGUUAUCCGGAUUUACUGGGCGUAAAGGGUGCGUAGGUGGUUUCUUAAGUCAGGAGUGAAAGGCUACGGCUCAACCGUAGUAAGCUCUUGAAACUGGGAAACUUGAGUGCAGGAGAGGAAAGUGGAAUUCCUAGUGUAGCGGUGAAAUGCGUAGAUAUUA
This 557-nucleotide ribosomal RNA is filed under the name uncultured Clostridium sp. Its description in RNAcentral is "bacterial SSU rRNA". It matches the Rfam family "Bacterial small subunit ribosomal RNA", at positions 123 to 699 of the family's 1533-position model. Lineage: Bacteria; Bacillati; Bacillota; Clostridia; Eubacteriales; Clostridiaceae. The record is from RNAcentral.